RNAcentral lists this ribosomal RNA (883 nucleotides) under uncultured archaeon. Its description in RNAcentral is "bacterial SSU rRNA". It matches the Rfam family "Archaeal small subunit ribosomal RNA", at positions 17 to 879 of the family's 1478-position model. The record is from RNAcentral.
CCGGACCUUACUGCUAUCGGGGUGGGACUAAGACAUGCGAGUCGAGCGUCUCUAGCUAUGUUGAGACGCGGCAGACGGCUCAGUAACACGUGGCUAACCUACCCUCAGGACGAGUACAAACCCGGGAAACUGGGGCUAAUACUCGAUAGGUGAGUAUGUCUGGAAUGAUUUCUCACUCAAAGGGCUUUGGAUACAUGCUUCCAACGUCGCCUGGGGAUGGGGCCGCGUCCGAUCAGGUUGUUGGUGAGGUAACGGCUCACCAAGCCUAUAACCGGUACGGGCCAUGAGAGUGGUAGCCCGGAGAUGGGUACUGAGACAAGGACCCAGGCCCUACGGGGCGCAGCAGUCGCGAAAACUCCGCAAUGCACGAAAGUGUGACGGGGCUACCCCGAGUGCCAUCCGCUGAGGGUGGCUUUUCUUUGGUAUAAUUAGCCAUUGGAAUAAGGAGAGGGCAAGACUGGUGUCAGCCGCCGCGGUAAUACCAGCUCUCCGAGUGGUAGGGAUGUUUAUUGGGCUUAAAGCGUCCGUAGCCGGCUUAGAAGUCUCCUGUUAAAUUCAGCGACCUAAUCGUUGACCCGCGGGAGAUACUACUAAGCUAGGAGGCGGGAGAGGUCGACGGUACUUCUGGGGUAGGGGUGAAAUCCUAUAAUCCCGGGAGGACCACCAGUGGCGAAUGCUGUCGACUAGAACGCGCUCGACGGUGAGGGACGAAAGCUGGCGGAGCGAACCGGAUUAUAUACCCGGGUAGUCACAGCCGUAAACGAUGCUGGCUACGUGUUGGGAUGGCUACGUGCCAUCUCAGUGCCGCAUGGAAACCAUUAAUGCCGCCGCCUGAGGAGUACCGCAGCCAUGCUGAAACUUAAAGGAAUUGGCCGGGGAGCAC